AGGAAAGUAGGGGAUCGCAAGACCUUGCGCUUUUGGAGCGGCCGAUGUCUGAUUAGCUAGUUGGUGAGGUAAAGGCUUACCAAGGCUUCGAUCAGUAGCUGGUCUGAGAGGACGACCAGCCACACUGGGACUGAGACACGGCCCAGACUCCUACGGGAGGCAGCAGUGGGGAAUUUUGGACAAUGGGGGCAACCCUGAUCCAGCCAUGCCGCGUGAGUGAAGAAGGCCUUCGGGUUAUAAAGCUCUUUCAGCCGGAACGAAAAGGUUACGGUUAAUACCCGUGACUAAUGACGGUACCGGAAGAAGAAGCACCGGCUAACUACGUGCCAGCAGCCGCGGUAAUACGUAGGGUGCGAGCGUUAAUCGGAAUUACUGGGCGUAAAGCGUGCGCAGGCGGUUUUGUAAGUCAGAUGUGAAAUCCCCGGGCUUAACCUGGGAACUGCGUUUGAAACUACAAAGCU
This 461-nucleotide ribosomal RNA is filed under the name uncultured beta proteobacterium. RNAcentral describes it as "bacterial SSU rRNA". It matches the Rfam family "Bacterial small subunit ribosomal RNA", at positions 190 to 642 of the family's 1533-position model. Lineage: Bacteria; Pseudomonadati; Pseudomonadota; Betaproteobacteria. The record is from RNAcentral.